UUCACAUACUCGGUCGUUCGCAGGACGUGGAGUUUUUGCGGUGGAUGCAUUGGAAAAGGGUGACUUUGUGGCCGAGUACCGCGGUCAACUAAUAAACGGAGCUGAAAGCGAGAGGAGGAGGCGAGUGUACCAUCCUGCCGCUGCUGUCUUUCUUUUCGACUUUAAAUGGAAUAGGAAAAGCUGGUGCAUUGAUGGAGCCAAAGAUGAUGGCUCUGUUGGAAGAAUGAUAAAUGACAACCACAAAAGUCCAAACUGCAAAAUCAAGAAACUGGCAGUAGAUGGAAUGCCACACCUCUGCCUGUUUGCUUUAAGAGAUAUUCUUCCUGGUGAAGAAAUCACAUACAGCUAUGGAGAUGGACCAUGGCCUUGGAGAAAACAGG
Polypterus senegalus (gray bichir) is the source of this 380-nucleotide long non-coding RNA. RefSeq lists it as uncharacterized. The record is from RefSeq and is a predicted model, not a curated record. The transcript has 2 exons. Lineage: Eukaryota; Metazoa; Chordata; Cladistia; Polypteriformes; Polypteridae.